Long non-coding RNA from Seriola aureovittata, 3108 nucleotides. RefSeq lists it as uncharacterized. The transcript has 2 exons. The record is from RefSeq and is a predicted model, not a curated record. NCBI's taxonomy places the organism in Eukaryota, Metazoa, Chordata, Actinopteri, Carangiformes, Carangidae.
CUCACGCCCAAAUCGAACCCAGCUGGAGCUGAGCUCUGUCUCCCUCAAAAUCAUAUCAUCAUAUCACACUUUAAAUCCUCCAGUACCCCAAACAGCAUAUGGGCCUUGAUGAGUAUUUCUGUAGACUACAAAGAGAAAUAUUUGAGGUGAUUUCUACGCCUAACCAAUGUUAACAACGAGAUAGGUGCUAUCAAUUAUCAGAUGCCAUCAGAUGCUUCAGGCACAUAGUCUCUAACAGUGCAAAUAUCACCAUCUGACAUUCAGUCAAAUCGUUUUGCUCCACGAUAAGUUUUCAACUGUUCAUCUGUGAGUUAGCUAACAUCUUGAGUAUUUACUGAGCUGUGUUUCCUUGGUGAGCUAGAUAUGUUCUCUCCCCUCCCUUUUGUUAUCUGGACAUUACAAUUAGAGAAACAAAAAUACAGUUCGAAAUCGGAGCAUGAAAAACUCAUUCAUAACUGAUAAUGUCGUAGACACUGAAAGACAAGGCCAAGCAGCAGCUACUUCUUCAGACCAUCGGGGCAAAGUCAGAAAUCUUUUAUCUAUAAUUUAUUCCCAUACUGCUGCUCCAUGCGCACACAGGCAGGUGUGUGAGUGAGUUACAGUGACAGUCUAGUUCUUUGUUUCUCAUGAUUGAUGAUAACAGCUUUUUAGGUUACUAUGACUAUACAAGAUCAUGAAUAUAAUUGUGCCUCAGUAUUGUUUUAUAGUAAUUAUGUGCCUGCAAUGCAAUAGCAUUGAAGGCAUAUCCUGCAUGCUUACUCGACUUAUUCAUCUUCUAUAUCUAAAUUUCGGCGCGUAACUUCUGCAGUUUUGAGAAAACACAGACAAUAUACAUAUCAGUAUGUGCGGUUCAAUCGGUAAUGGUGUGCUAUGACUUUUCUUAGCGAUUUGAGUAACCAUAGUGAAGUAAAUGGCAAUAAAAGGUGAAGAAAUUACCAAAGAAAAUGAAUGGGAAAAUAUCUUCAAAAUGACCAAGCCCAGCCCUCUACUGCUGCAUCAUACUUCAACAUAGAAAAAUGGUUGAAACAGUUCACAAGACUUGAGACUCUUUUGGGUUAAAUCGGUAUUUUGACUCCUAUUACAGUUUACACAAAAUCACAGUUUACGUUUUGUGUAAUUUUUACACCAUUUCAGACUUUAUAUGGGUGUGUAUUGCACGGAAUGUUCAGAGCUAGAGUUGAUGACAUCACAGCUAGAGUGGGAGAAGCUCUAGAACUCCUCUGAAAAAAUUCAGUUUAACUCGUCCUUCUGGCCACAUAUUUCAGUCUUCACACAUCAUGGCUUCCUCAGUAGUAGACAAAUUUAUGCUGUUUCAUAGAAAGUGUCUACCUAAGCACAGAGACUUACAAAAUUUGAACAGUGAGCCUCAAAGUGAUGGGAGUACCCUCCACCUCUCCCAUUGACUGCAAUACAAAUUCAGGAGCUGAUUUCAGAAGAAAAACAGAUGUGUUGCUUAUUUGUAACUCGCUACUGUGUCCACAUUUUUGGCUCUACAAACACCAAAGCAGGAUAUUCAGUGCACGGAGGUCUUGUGUCGGUCAUGGUCUGCUCAUGCUUCUGAUAAGAGUUACAAUUUUUUCAGAAAUAUCAGUUAUUUGAGAGGCUUGCCGAGCCAAAAUCUCACUUAGCUCUGUGUCAGCUCUGUUUUCCUGCCAGACACGGGUGUUGAAACAGCUCAUCAAGAGACUCUAGAUCUGUGUGAUGUUUAUAAACACACACACACACACACACACACACACACACACACACACACACACACACACACACAUACUACUAACACAGUAUGGAGAAAUGGACAAAGCUGAUUCUUAAUGGCUAAUAAUUAACACUUACCGUUAUCACUCUCAAGUAUGAGAGCAUCUAUAAGGCAAAUCAGCAGUGUAUAUGUGUGUGUGUUCAUGUUUUUCUAUGAUUGUGAGGACAAUUUCGUUAAGAACAGAUUUUUGUACACAUAUAUGUACACACAUACUGACAGACACACAAACCAGCUCCACCUUUGGAUAUUCAACUUAUAAAAAAAAUCAUUAUUUUGGCAUCUGAUUUUUCAAAACACACAAUUAAUAUAAGCUGCUUUUUCAACCUUUUUAGAAUUGUGGUGAGGUGAUCUUUUCAAUAGGACUUGUAGAUAUCCCUCUAAUAUCCCAUUUUCAAACACAAGUUUCUUCUUAAAAGCUGUUGACUGCCCAGGGAGACGGAGGGGAUUGUAUGUGUGUGUUUCUCUCAUCUGCCUGGUGGCUGCAGUUGCCAGUGGCAACCAGUGUCUCAGCAAGUGCUACUCAGCAGGUGUUCUGGGCAGAAAUGGGCAAAACUGAUUCUGAUGGUUAAUUAGGCUCAUUAAUUCUUACCACGUUCAACGGCAGAGAAGCAAAACACGGGUGUUUUUCCACCGCUGGAGACAGCUCUGGGCAAGUAAAGAGAUGCAGUUUGACGCCGAGCUGCAACUUUUCUUUUAGACUGGACCAGAAUUCCAGUCCAGCCUUCCCCAAUGAUGGACCAGCACCUGCUUUUUCUUCUGAGUCUGACCUCAUCAAUCAUCGACAACCACAUUACAGUAACACCUUGGAGUAUUAUUCCUGCACAGAACACAUAUUGUCUGUACUGUGAUCUUUUGCACAUCCUGCUCAGCAGGAGUUUUGUCAACACUUUUGUACAUAGUUUUUUUCAUUGUUUUAUUUUUUCUAAUAUGUGUAUCUAUGUAUAUUUAUCAUUUUGACUGUUGCAGUUUUUUACCUUUUUAUUGUUAUUUCCUGUUAACCCAUUUAUACCCAAUGCUGCGUAGCGCAACAUUGAGUCUCCUGCCGGCUGCUGCAUAGCGCAGCAUUGUUGAUUCCUCAUCAUUUUCAUAUAUAUUAUACAUAGAUAUAUUUAUACAUAUUUUACAUAUUUAUAUGCUGCAUGCAUCAUGAAAAUUACGAGGAAUCAACAAUGCUGCGCUACGCAGCAGCCGGCAGGAGACUCAAUGCUACGCAGCAAUCGGCGGGAGGGACAAUGUUGCGCUACGCAGCAUCCGGUAUAAAUGGGUUAACAUGUUUAUUGUAUGCUGCACCAAACACCAAGCCAAAUAUCUUGUAAGUUAAAACCUACCUGGCAAUAAACCUUAUUUUCUGA